This 692-nucleotide ribosomal RNA is filed under the name uncultured bacterium. RNAcentral describes it as "bacterial SSU rRNA". It matches the Rfam family "Bacterial small subunit ribosomal RNA", at positions 147 to 837 of the family's 1533-position model. The record is from RNAcentral.
CCUUCUGAAAGGAAGAUUAAUACAAGAUGGCAUCAUGAGUCCACAUGUUCACAUGAUUAAAGGUAUUCCGGUAGACGAUGGGGAUGCGUUCCAUUAGAUAGUAGGCGGGGUAACGGCCCACCUAGUCUUCGAUGGAUAGGGGUUCUGAGAGGAAGGUCCCCCACAUUGGAACUGAGACACGGUCCAAACUCCUACGGGAGGCAGCAGUGAGGAAUAUUGGUCAAUGGGCGAGAGCCUGAACCAGCCAAGUAGCGUGAAGGAUGACUGCCCUAUGGGUUGUAAACUUCUUUUAUAAAGGAAUAAAGUCGGGUAUGCAUACCCGUUUGCAUGUACUUUAUGAAUAAGGAUCGGCUAACUCCGUGCCAGCAGCCGCGGUAAUACGGAGGAUCCGAGCGUUAUCCGGAUUUAUUGGGUUUAAAGGGAGCGUAGAUGGAUGUUUAAGUCAGUUGUGAAAGUUUGCGGCUCAACCGUAAAAUUGCAGUUGAUACUGGAUGUCUUGAGUGCAGUUGAGGCAGGCGGAAUUCGUGGUGUAGCGGUGAAAUGCUUAGAUAUCACGAAGAACUCCGAUUGCGAAGGCAGCCUGCUAAGCUGCAACUGACAUUGAGGCUCGAAAGUGUGGGUAUCAAACAGGAUUAGAUACCCUGGUAGUCCACACGGUAAACGAUGAAUACUCGCUGUUUGCGAUAUACUGC